CAAUAGCGUAUAUUAAAGUUGUUGCAGUUAAAAGCUCGUAGUUGGAUCUCGGAUCCGGGCGAAUGGUCCGCCUCGCGGCGGUUUACUGUUCGAUGGCGUCGGUUGGGCUGCCUCUUCGGGGUUAGGUUUCGUUCGGCGUCGUUCCCGGUCCUGUCUCACCUCCUGUGACGCCCGUCGGUGCUCUUGACUGCAGUGCCGGCGGCGGCCAGGACGUUUACUUUGAAAAAAUUAGAGUGUUCCAAGCAGGCGCGUUCCGCCCGAAUAAUGGUGCAUGGAAUAAUAGAAUAGGACCUCGGUUCUAUUUUGUUGGUUUUCGGAACUAGAGGGUAAUGAUUAAGAGGGACAGACGGGGGCAUUCGUAUUGCGGUGUUAGAGGUGAAAUUCUUGGAUCGCCGCAAGACGAACUACUGCGAAAGCAUUUGCCAAGAAUGUUUUCAUUAAUUCAAGAACGAAAGUCAGAGGUUCGAAGACGAU
Molecule: ribosomal RNA, 474 nt
Filed under: uncultured eukaryote
Lineage: Eukaryota
Description: SSU rRNA
Rfam family: Eukaryotic small subunit ribosomal RNA
Source: RNAcentral